CGGCAAUGGCGUGAUAAUAUGCCGUAUAUAAUAUAAUAAAACACAAUCACAUUGUAGUCAAGAGCUGUUUCGGUAUUCCACGUAUCACCGUCAAUUAUAUUCAAAACGGAAAAUUUCCGUAGAAAAUCCAACAUAGAAGCAACGUGAGGUUUCAUAUCGUCCCUAUUAAAAGCAUCGUUAGAAAUAAAUACGCCGCGCCAGUCUACAUCUUGUAAUUCCUCGGUAAUCCGUGCACUCAUAGCAUCGUCGAUUAGGCGAGUGUCUAAAACCUUUAUCGCUUUAUCGGAGUGUGCGACAAAAUCAUUGGAUGCCAUAGGCAACUCAGUAAAAGUAACGUCAAUUGACAUAGCAUUAUGAUGCACUUCUGUCUUGAUCAGCGGAUCACUCACCUCAAUACGACAGCACUCAUCGUCUGUUGUAAACAACAAAUCGAGAAAUCUGUUGUUUUGAUUCGGGAUACCGCAAAUUUGGAAAAAGCCACAAGCAGCCAUCGAAUCAACGAACAGUUCUUCUUCUGGCUGGCGUACUUGAUAAGGUGACGAUGAAUCUACAAUAUUGCGGAUGCUUUCUACGUAUGAUGCAUAGCGACCAAAAUGCGAAUCAGGAGGACGAUUCGAAAAUAACGUUACUAUAAAACUUCUGAUUAACAGCAAUCAGUACACCACCGCCGCUGGUUUUAUCAGAAUUCGAUGAGGAUCUAUCGCAACGAAAGCAUAAACAUCGAAAUCACGCUCCAGUGCGGACAUGAAGACAGCUUCGAGCCGGCUACUGCUUCGGAUACUAUUCAUAUUCUGAUGAAUCACGCAAGCAACAGUUAUACACUUCUGGACAAGUGGAAUCAUUAAGUAACGGUGAAAAACGAGGCGAAGCAGAAUAUCGGGGAUUACUCGUUUGGCUGGCUUGGCGGGGGAAUAGGAAAUAAUUUCGGCUGAAUCCCGCGAGUGAAUUCAAACUCACGGAAAUAAAUACCCUUCUGCCAAGAUGAGGCAGACAUAGCUUUUUCUUUAUAUUCCGAUCCAAUUCCAACCUUGA
Long non-coding RNA from Sabethes cyaneus, 1032 nucleotides. RefSeq lists it as uncharacterized. NCBI's taxonomy places the organism in Eukaryota, Metazoa, Arthropoda, Insecta, Diptera, Culicidae. The record is from RefSeq and is a predicted model, not a curated record. The transcript has 5 exons.